GACGAACGCUGGCGGCGUGCCUAAUACAUGCAAGUAGAACGCUGAAGGAGGAGCUUGCUUCUCUGGAUGAGUUGCGAACGGGUGAGUAACGCGUAGGUAACCUGCCUGGUAGCGGGGGAUAACUAUUGGAAACGAUAGCUAAUACCGCAUAAUAGUAGAUGUCGCAUGACAUUUGCUUAAAAGGUGCAAUUGCAUCACUACCAGAUGGACCUGCGUUGUAUUAGCUAGUUGGUGAGGUAACGGCUCACCAAGGCAACGAUACAUAGCCGACCUGAGAGGGUGAUCGGCCACACUGGGACUGAGACACGGCCCAGACUCCUACGGGAGGCAGCAGUAGGGAACCUUCGGCAAUGGACGGAAGUCUGACCGAGCAACGCCGCGUGAGUGAAGAAGGGUUUCGGAUCGUAAAGCUCUGUUGUAAGAGAAGAACGAGUGUGAGAGUGGAAAGUUCACACUGUGACGGUAUCUUACCAGAAAGGGACGGCUAACUACGUG
This 495-nucleotide ribosomal RNA is filed under the name uncultured bacterium. Its description in RNAcentral is "partial 16S ribosomal RNA". It matches the Rfam family "Bacterial small subunit ribosomal RNA", at positions 28 to 507 of the family's 1533-position model. The record is from RNAcentral.